AUGAGCCCAUAUUUAACUCAUCUACGACAAUCUGCUAGUGUUGAUGAGGAACCGGUUAUUACUAUUGAUAUUUAUGAUCCAACCAAUUGGGGUAGUCUUGAUAACAAAGACAGGGACAUAUUAGUGGAAAAGGGGCCUAAAAGGGAAAAAAACACUAAAUAUCCGUUUGAUGAAAAUUCACGAUAUUUUUUAAAAACGCUAAAACACUCAAGAAAAAUGAGCAAUGGAGAGGUGUGUGAUAGGAGAUGGUUAGUUUUUUCAAAACACGCAAAAAGUUGUUCUGUUUUUGCUUUAAGCUUUUCAACUCCGAUAAAUGCAAGAAUGCAUUUGGGGCCUGAAAUGUCAAUCAGGUAG
RNAcentral lists this ribosomal RNA (354 nucleotides) under Triticum aestivum (bread wheat). RNAcentral's name for it is "partial small subunit ribosomal RNA". Lineage: Eukaryota; Viridiplantae; Streptophyta; Magnoliopsida; Poales; Poaceae. The record is from RNAcentral.